AAUAAUGAUUGAUCACUGUUCAUUAUAGUUCUUAUAGAACUUUUUUACACAAAAUAGGCCCCAUAAUUCCUACAGUGGAUUUACCCACUACAGAAAUUAUAGAGCC
Molecule: non-coding RNA, 106 nt
Filed under: Streptococcus sp. DD10
Lineage: Bacteria; Bacillati; Bacillota; Bacilli; Lactobacillales; Streptococcaceae
Description: Streptococcus RNA 266
Rfam family: Streptococcus RNA 266
Source: Rfam by way of RNAcentral